GCGGCGACCGUGGAGACGCUGAUUUUGGUAGAGGUGAGCAGGGGCUCCCUGCACCGCACAGCAGCUCCCUGGGGCAUGCAAAGGCAGCAAAUGCCUGGUGCCAGGGAGAGCACGGCACGGCAGACUGUCCCUGCGGUCACGUGCAGACCCCUUGUGCCGCACRGGGGCUGCUCGGGAUCAAGGGAGCAGCCUGCAACUGUGCAGGGGGCUGGGGGCUGCAGGGCCGCUUCGGGGGCGCUGGCUGCAGCAGCAGCCUUUGCCACAGCCCCCGUGGCACAGAGGCACAGCGUCAGGCCUGCACCUCCAGCCUCUCCUCCRCAGCCCUUGGACCACCCCCGCUUUUCCUGGCAGCCUCUCCCACAUGCCUGCAUUGCUGCAGCAACAUCGCUGGAGCAGCUCCCUCGAGGCCCCCACUGAGGAGGGGCGGCUCUGUAACCAUCAGCCCUUUCUCACAGGCUGACGCCAAGAAAGGCCCCCGCUUGGACCCUUCCGACGGCGAAGAGGCACUUGGCCACUCGGCUGCAGAGGGAGCGAAGGCAAGGCGGCAGGUGAUCUCCUGGCCACUUGCUCGGCGAGGAACCUCUGCCAGCAGGGCCUGCCCUGUCCCAGGGCAGCUCGCCUCUGGCCCCAGGGCGGCUCUCUUUGGCCRGCCUCUGGCAGCUCUCUGCGGGCAAGACGGGGGCCUGCCCCAGCCAGUCCAGGAGCUCCUGGCUAUACUGUAUGAGAAAGGGCCUGCCACCGAGGGCAUCUUCAGGWAGGCGGCGAGCGAGAAGGCCUGCAAGGAGCUGAAGGCGGUCCUAAACCAGGGCAAGAGCGCUGACCUGGACAGCAGACCCAUGCACCUCCUGGCAGUGGUGCUGAAGGHGAAUUCCUUGCACCAGCAGAGCACACGGCUCUCCGAGCAUGUGCCUCAUGUGUAUGGGCCCCUGGCAGUGCCUCUACUCCCCUCGGUGGCACUCCAAGCUAAAAGCCUACUGAAGCCAGACUCCGGGCUUCAGGCUCAGGACACUGUGGCACUUUUCUUCCCCCUCAGAUUGUCAGCUGCCCUAGUUCUGCCCCUGAUUCCCUGCAUGACCAUGGGAAACUCCCUUCCUC
This 1095-nucleotide long non-coding RNA is filed under the name Dromaius novaehollandiae (emu). RNAcentral describes it as "lncRNA (ENSDNVG00000010434.1)". Lineage: Eukaryota; Metazoa; Chordata; Aves; Casuariiformes; Dromaiidae. The record is from RNAcentral.